Molecule: ribosomal RNA, 440 nt
Filed under: uncultured bacterium
Lineage: Bacteria
Description: partial 16S ribosomal RNA
Rfam family: Bacterial small subunit ribosomal RNA
Source: RNAcentral
CCUACGGGAGGCAGCAGUGGGGGAUAUUGCACAAUGGGGGGAACCCUGAUGCAGCGACGCCGCGUGGGUGAAGGAGCGCUUCGGCGCGUAAAGCUCUAUCGGCAGGGAAGAAGAUGACGGUACCUGACCAAGAAGCCCCGGCGAACUACGGGCCAGCAGCCCCGGUAAUAUGUAGGGGGCAAGCGUUUUCCGGAUUUACUGGGUGGAAAGGGGGCGCAGACGGCAAUGCAAGCCAGGAGUGAAAGCGCGGGGACCAACCCCGGGACUGCUCUUGGAACUGGAUGGCUGGAGUACAGGAGGGGCAGGCGGAAUUCCUAGUGUAGCGGUGAAAUGCGUAGAUAUUAGGAGGAACACCGGUGGCGAAGGCGGCCUGCUGGACUGUGACUGACGUUGAGGCCCGAAGGCGUGGGGAGCAAACAGGAUUAGAUACCCCGGUAGUC